This is a long non-coding RNA of Lepidothrix coronata (blue-crowned manakin), 2562 nucleotides long. RefSeq lists it as uncharacterized. NCBI's taxonomy places the organism in Eukaryota, Metazoa, Chordata, Aves, Passeriformes, Pipridae. The transcript has 3 exons. The record is from RefSeq and is a predicted model, not a curated record.
CAACUCAGGUGCCCAGAAGACUUUUUAGGACCAUGGUUAUUUCUCUGGGGUAUUUCUUGAGUGGGGUUCAUGGUGAAAAGGUGCCUGGGGCUUCAGGUUGCUCAGGACAUCCCUGGGUACCAGCCCUGCUCAGUUGUUCCCAACAGCAUCCACAGGAAUGGACUUUUGGUUCUGUUUCUACUUGCUGGUUGAUUUUUGUGUACUCAAGUGAUGACUGAGGAAGAAUCAGAAGGCAACUUGUGGAGCUGGUCCAGAAGAAUUUUAGCAUCCCAAAUUUGAUGCCUUGAGGAGGAGAGGUCUCAGCCAACUGGAAGGUGGUGAAAUGUUGUCCUGACUUUCAAGAAGGACAAGAAAGAGGACCCCAGAAACUACAGGCCUAUUAGUCUCACUUCAGUGCCUGAAGGACAGAAGACCUCACUCAUCAUUGACCGGAGGUUGACAGAUCCAAACGAAGGACCAUCUGUUUGGCCAGGGAGAAAAGGGUAAAGGAGCUGUCUAAAUCUGUGUCUAGGAGCCACCAGUGGAGCAGCACAUCCAUGGAUCUGUCAAAGAGCAUUUUCCUAUCCCAGCUGGCUCACAACAGAGUGCUCCUCCUGGCCAGAAGUUACAUGCUUCCAUGCCCCCUUGCAACCGGGGAGACUCUCUGAGCCAGAGGCUGAGCCAAGUGACUGCAGAAUGGUGAGGGAGAGAUGAGCUCUUGGAAGAACAGCACAUUUAUUCAGUUGAUUAAUUUUUAACAGGGAAAAAGAGUAAGUACAGGGGAAAUUGUUCAGCUGGGAAGAGAGGAGAAAGCUGUGAGAACAGAACCAGAAAGGAAGGUGAAGAGCAGGAGAGCAGGGGAGAAGGCCUCUCUCACAGCCCAUACUCCUGAGGUGCUCUUUGGGCUGAUCAGUAGUGAUUUGCACUCCCAACAAAUGUUUUCAUUUAUUUCAGGACAAAGAAAAUGGUUUGUUCCACCGAACAUAUUUUUCAUUCAAAAUGGGAAAAGCUACUCCUGAGGGCCUGUUUUACUUUUUUUUAAUAAAGAAUAAAAACCUCAUGCUUUCAAAAAUCCUCUUUUCCCUACUCAGGAUUAGUUAUUUGAAUAGAAGGAUUUGCUGAACAUGACCUGAAUUUAUCUAGCGUUUUAUCCUACCUAUAGCAGAAUAUUUCUGGAGAGUUUAUGACUGAAGGGCAGAAACAACGUCCUUGUUUAGCUUCUCUUUAGACUUGUGCAGAAUAUGGAUACAUCCAUCUUGCACAACAGCACAGGUCCAGGUCCCAUCCGUCCUGCCAGAGCAGGCAGUCAUUGUGAGCUCUCAGUAGCUGAGGAAGACAGAAGUGAUUUGCAGCACCUCUGUGCAGGUCUGCACCCUAUCCAGGGCCCUCACUCCUUGUGAGCACCUCCCAGAGGCACAGUAUUCAUGAAGGGCACCUGUGAAAUUCUGCCCAUGCAGAAGCUAAAAUACAUAGCCUUGUGCUAAAUAGUAUGCUUAUAGAUAGUGGCAUAUAUUUGUCUGGAUGUCUGUAGCAAGAAUAGUGGAAAAACAAGAGAGAAGGCAGCAAGCCUUCUUGAUCUAACUGAAAGAUGAGGGAGAAGUUUAGAGGUCAAGAACUGCUUGAAAAGUUGUGAUCAAAAAGGAUAUCUCAUGCUGUUUCUUUCCAAAUGAGCAGAGGGUGGCAGGAUUGUGGUAAACAGCCUUUGGCUGACCAUCUGGGUCAUGCUGGAAUAAUGACAUGACAGGAUUCAAUGUCUCAUGAUGUUAUUUGUUGGGCUAAACAUACCAAAUAGUGCAGAGGCUUACACACUCAGGUCAGUGUGUUGUUAUUGCUGCAUUUCCCACUUAAACAAUUCCUUGUGCUUCUAAAGUUACCUGGCCCUGCCACAUGACUUCCAAGUGAGCAAGCCAUGAUUUUUAACAAUAUCUAUUACCUCUGUUUCACAGGUCAGUGCUCUUUAUAAACUGCUAGUGUUAUUCUGAAAGAUCUAUUGUGAAAGACAGCGUAGAAAACAUUGGUGCAAAACUAACAAGAAGGACAUUGCUUCUGUUUAGGAGGGACUACCCAUGUGAUGUAGGUACAAAAAAAUUUCCCUGUUUCAAAACACACAUUUUAUCUAUGCAAGAUCAUAGUCCCAUAAUUCUGUUCUACACUUCAAUGGCACUAACAUAGAAAAUAGUUUGUUCGCUCACAGACCAAGAAGGACUGGGAUGCUAACUUUACUGUUCCAGGAAAUACUUUGCCAGUGCUAACUUGUGAACUGUUAGCAGCCAAAUACUCUCAAGAUUUAUUCAAGCCAAAGAACUACUAUCUACCAGUUCCUGGUUAUAUUUCUUCUCCUAUUCCUCUCUAAAUUACGAAUUUCCACUGGGUCAAGUUACUUUCAUGUUUAUUUUCUUUAACACAGCAAGUCUGCAUCUGGCAAUAACUUUUUGGGUUGUCUGGCUGUGAACUUCACAUUAGAAAACUUCAAACUGUGUUUCCCCCAUCUCUUAGAGCAGAAAUAUUCUUAUGCAGACCUGUACCAGUACAUACAAUGCUGCAAUGAUAGUAAAAACAAACAAACAAACAAACAAAACACAA